AUGCUGGAGGUAUCAGAAGUGCGAAUGCUGACAUAAGUAACGAUAAAGCGGGUGAAAAGCCCGCUCGCCGGAAGACCAAGGGUUCCUGUCCAACGUUAAUCGGGGCAGGGUGAGUCGACCCCUAAGGCGAGGCCGAAAGGCGUAGUCGAUGGGAAACAGGUUAAUAUUCCUGUACUUGGUGUUACUGCGAAGGGGGGACGGAGAAGGCUAUGUUGGCCGGGCGACGGUUGUCCCGGUUUAAGCGUGUAGGCUGGUUUUCCAGGCAAAUCCGGAAAAUCAAGGCUGAGGCGUGAUGACGAGGCACUACGGUGCUGAAGCAACAAAUGCCCUGCUUCCAGGAAAAGCCUCUAAGCAUCAGGUAACAUCAAAUCGUACCCCAAACCGACACAGGUGGUCAGGUAGAGAAUACCAAGGCGCUUGAGAGAACUCGGGUGAAGGAACUAGGCAAAAUGGUGCCGUAACUUCGGGAGAAGGCACGCUGAUAUGUAGGUGAAGUCCCUCGCGGAUGGAGCUGAAAUCAGUCGAAGAUACCAGCUGGCUGCAACUGUUUAUUAAAAACACAGCACUGUGCAAACACGAAAGUGGACGUAUACGGUGUGACGCCUGCCCGGUGCCGGAAGGUUAAUUGAUGGGGUUAGCCGCAAGGCGAAGCUCUUGAUCGAAGCCCCGGUAAACGGCGGCCGUAACUAUAACGGUCCUAAGGUAGCGAAAUUCCUUGUCGGGUAAGUUCCGACCUGCACGAAUGGCGUAAUGAUGGCCAGGCUGUCUCCACCCGAGACUCAGUGAAAUUGAACUCGCUGUGAAGAUGCAGUGUACCCGCGGCAAGACGGAAAGACCCCGUGAACCUUUACUAUAGCUUGACACUGAACAUUGAGCCUUGAUGUGUAGGAUAGGUGGGAGGCUUUGAAGUGUGGACGCCAGUCUGCAUGGAGCCGACCUUGAAAUACCACCCUUUAAUGUUUGAUGUUCUAACGUUGACCCGUAAUCCGGGUUGCGGACAGUGUCUGGUGGGUAGUUUGACUGGGGCGGUCUCCUCCUAAAGAGUAACGGAGGAGCACGAAGGUUGGCUAAUCCUGGUCGGACAUCAGGAGGUUAGUGCAAUGGCAUAAGCCAGCUUGACUGCGAGCGUGACGGCGCGAGCAGGUGCGAAAGCAGGUCAUAGUGAUCCGGUGGUUCUGAAUGGAAGGGCCAUCGCUCAACGGAUAAAAGGUACUCCGGGGAUAACAGGCUGAUACCGCCCAAGAGUUCAUAUCGACGGCGGUGUUUGGCACCUCGAUGUCGGCUCAUCACAUCCUGGGGCUGAAGUAGGUCCCAAGGGUAUGGCUGUUCGCCAUUUAAAGUGGUACGCGAGCUGGGUUUAGAACGUCGUGAGACAGUUCGGUCCCUAUCUGCCGUGGGCGCUGGAGAACUGAGGGGGGCUGCUCCUAGUACGAGAGGACCGGAGUGGACGCAUCACUGGUGUUCGGGUUGUCAUGCCAAUGGCACUGCCCGGUAGCUAAAUGCGGAAGAGAUAAGUGCUGAAAGCAUCUAAGCACGAAACUUGCCCCGAGAUGAGUUCUCCCUGACUCCUUGAGAGUCCUGAAGGAACGUUGAAGACGACGACGUUGAUAGGCCGGGUGUGUAAGCGCAGC
RNAcentral lists this ribosomal RNA (1631 nucleotides) under Escherichia coli. Its description in RNAcentral is "partial 23S ribosomal RNA". It matches the Rfam family "Bacterial large subunit ribosomal RNA", at positions 1270 to 2879 of the family's 2925-position model. Lineage: Bacteria; Pseudomonadati; Pseudomonadota; Gammaproteobacteria; Enterobacterales; Enterobacteriaceae. The record is from RNAcentral.